CCUACGGGUGGCAGCAGUAGGGAAUCUUUCACAAUGGGCGAAAGCCUGAUGGAGCAACGCCGCGUGCAGGAUGAAGGCCUUCGGGUUGUAAACUGCUUUUAUAAGCGAGAAAUAUGAUGGUAACUUAUGAAUAAGGAUCGGCUAACUACGUGCCAGCAGCCGCGGUCAUACGUAGGAUCCGAGCAUUAUCCGGAGUGACUGGGUGUAAAGAGUUGCGUAGGUGGCAUAAUAAGUAGCUAGUGAAAUCUGGUGGCUCAACCAUUCAGACUAUUAGCUAAACUGGUAAGCUCGAGACCGUUAGGGGUAACUGGAAUUCCUAGUGUAGGAGUGAAAUGCGUAGAUAUUAGAAGGAACACCAAUAGCGUAGGCAGGUUACUGGGACGGUUCUGACACUAAGGCACGAAAGCGUAGGGAGCAAACGGGAUUAGAUACCCUGGUAGUC
RNAcentral lists this ribosomal RNA (442 nucleotides) under uncultured bacterium. RNAcentral describes it as "partial 16S ribosomal RNA". It matches the Rfam family "Bacterial small subunit ribosomal RNA", at positions 338 to 795 of the family's 1533-position model. The record is from RNAcentral.